This 253-nucleotide ribosomal RNA is filed under the name uncultured bacterium. RNAcentral describes it as "partial 16S ribosomal RNA". It matches the Rfam family "Bacterial small subunit ribosomal RNA", at positions 524 to 776 of the family's 1533-position model. The record is from RNAcentral.
UACAGAGGUCUCAAGCGUUGUUCGGAAUUACUGGGCGUAAAGCGUGCGCAGGCGGUUUGUUAAGUCUGCUGUGAAAUCCCCGAGCUCAACUUGGGAAUUGCAGUGGAUACUGGCAAGCUGGAGUACGGUAGAGGAAGGUGGAAUUCCCGGUGUAGCAGUGAAAUGCGUAGAGAUCGGGAGGAACACCAGUGGCGAAGGCGGCCUUCUGGACCAGUACUGACGCUCAUGCACGAAAGCGUGGGGAGCAAACAGG